Molecule: ribosomal RNA, 1435 nt
Filed under: Anophryoides haemophila
Lineage: Eukaryota; Ciliophora; Oligohymenophorea; Philasterida; Glauconematidae
Description: partial Bacterial large subunit ribosomal RNA
Rfam family: Bacterial large subunit ribosomal RNA
Source: RNAcentral
UAAGGCUACAUACUCCUGAGACACCGAUAGUGAACGAGUACCGUGAGGGAAAGGUGAAAAGAACCGGGAAUACCGGAGUGAAAAGAACCUGAAACCGUGUGCUUACAAGCAGUCAGAGGGCUUUUGUGGCCUGAUGGCGUGCCUUUUGCAUAAUGAGCCUACGAGUUACUCCUCCCCGGCAAGGUUAAGCGCUUAUAGGCGCGGAGCCGCAGCGAAAGCGAGUCUGAACAGGGCGCGCAGUCGGGGGGGGUAGACGCGAAACUUUGUGAGCUACCCAUGCGCAGGUUGAAGGUGCCGUAACAGGCACUGGAGGACCGAACCAGUUUCCGUUGAAAAGGAUUUGGAUGACGUGUGGGUAGGGGUGAAAGGCCAAUCAAACUGAGAAAUAGCUCGUACUCCCCGAAAUGUAUUGAGGUACAGCGUCGGCGUUGAGGUCGUUGGAGGUAGAGCUACCAAUAGGACUAGGGGGUGUCAGAGCCUACCGAAUCCUGAUGAACUCCGAAUGCCAACGGCUAUAGCCGGCAGUGAGGCCUGGGGUGCUAAGGUCCCCGGCCGAGAGGGAAAGAACCCAGACCAACAGCUAAGGUCCCUAAAUCUAGAUUAAGUUGAACAAAGGAGGUCCAGUUGCUUUGACAGCCAGGAGGUUGGCUUGGAAGCAGCCACCCUUGAAAGAGUGCGUAAUAGCUCACUGGUCAAGUGAUUCCGCGCCGACAAUGUAGCGGGGCUCAAGCCGUCCGCCGAAGCCAUGGCAUCUGUACAUCAACCCAAGCCGGGCCCCUUGUGGGUCCUGAGUUCAGGGGUGCAGGUGGGUAGGGGAGCGUCGUGUCACGGGUGAAGCCGCGGAGUGAUCCAGCGGUGGAUGUGACACGAGUGAGAAUGCAGGCAUGAGUAGCGAAUCACGGGUGAGAAACCCGUGCGCCGAAUGAUCAAGGGUUCCAGGGUCAAGCUAAUCUGCCCUGGGUAAGUCGGGACCUAAGGCGAGGCCGACAGGCGUAGUCGAUGGACAACGGGUUGAUAUUCCCGUACCGGCGAAGUGGCGCCCAUGACGAGCCCGGUGAUGCUAACCGCCCGAAACACUGGUGACCAAUCCCUUCGGGGUGCGGCGCUGGUGCGGAGCGCGGGACCCGAUCCGGUAGUAGUCAAGCGAUGGGGUGACACAGGAAGGUAGCCCAACCACGCCGAUGGUAGAGCGUGGGUAAGCAUGUAGGACGUGGCCUAGGCAAAUCCGGGUCGCAGCCCUUUGGUGGGUGAGUCUGAGAUGUGAUGCCGACCCCUGAUGGGGGAAGUGGGUGAUCCUAUGCUGUCGAGAAAAACCUCUAGCGAGCCACGAGCCGCCCGUACCCCAAACCGACUCAGGUGAUCAGGUAGAGAAUACCAAGGCGAUCGAGACAACCAUGGUUAAGGAACUCGGCAAAAUGCCCCCGUAACUUCGGGA